RNAcentral lists this ribosomal RNA (465 nucleotides) under Vreelandella stevensii. RNAcentral's name for it is "partial 16S ribosomal RNA". It matches the Rfam family "Bacterial small subunit ribosomal RNA", at positions 338 to 795 of the family's 1533-position model. The record is from RNAcentral. Lineage: Bacteria; Pseudomonadati; Pseudomonadota; Gammaproteobacteria; Oceanospirillales; Halomonadaceae.
CCUACGGGAGGCUGCAGUGGGGAAUAUUGGACAAUGGGCGAAAGCCUGAUCCAGCCAUGCCGCGUGUGUGAAGAAGGCCUUCGGGUUGUAAAGCACUUUCAGUGGGGAAGAAAGCCUUGGGGCUAAUACCCUCGAGGAAGGACAUCACCCACAGAAGAAGCACCGGCUAACUCCGUGCCAGCAGCCGCGGUAAUACGGAGGGUGCGAGCGUUAAUCGGAAUUACUGGGCGUAAAGCGCGCGUAGGCGGUCUGAUAAGCCGGUUGUGAAAGCCCCGGGCUCAACCUGGGAACGGCAUCCGGAACUGUCAGGCUAGAGUGCAGGAGAGGAAGGUAGAAUUCCCGGUGUAGCGGUGAAAUGCGUAGAGAUCGGGAGGAAUACCAGUGGCGAAGGCGGCCUUCUGGACUGACACUGACGCUGAGGUGCGAAAGCGUGGGUAGCAAACAGGAUUAGAUACCCUUGUCGUC